RNAcentral lists this unclassified non-coding RNA (164 nucleotides) under uncultured fungus. Its description in RNAcentral is "sequence contains ITS1, 5.8S rRNA gene". RNAcentral also lists the same sequence under 1 other name. Lineage: Eukaryota; Fungi. The record is from RNAcentral.
AAGAGUUGCAAAACUUAAACCAUUGUGAACGUUACCUUUACCGUUGCUUCGGCGGGCGGCCCGGGUCCUGCCCGGCGCCCCCCGGCCCUCGCGGGCGCCCGCCGGAGGUAAACCAAACUCUUGAAUUGUAUGGCCUCUCUGAGUCUUCUGUACUGAAUAAGUCA